AACGCGAAGAACCUUACCUGGGCUUGACAUGCUGGUAGUACCUUAGUGGAAACGCUGAGGGAUCUACCGUGAGGUAGAAGCCAGCACAGGGGCUGCACGGCUGUCGUCAGCUCGUGCCGUGAGGUGUUGGGUUAAGUCCCGCAACGAGCGCAACCCCUGUCCUUAGUUGCGGCAGCACCCAUGCGGUGGCUGAGCACUCUAAGGAGACUGCCGCCGAUGAGGCGGAGGAAGGUGGGGAUGACGUCAAGUCCGUGUGGCCUUUAUGUCCAGGGCUACACACGCGCUACAAUGGGUGGUACAACAGGCAUAGCGACCCUGUAAAGGGGAGCGAAUCCAUAAAACCAUCCUCAGUUCGGAUUGGGGUCUGCAACCUCGACCCCAUGAAGUACGGAAUCGCUAGUA
Molecule: ribosomal RNA, 402 nt
Filed under: uncultured bacterium
Lineage: Bacteria
Description: bacterial SSU rRNA
Rfam family: Bacterial small subunit ribosomal RNA
Source: RNAcentral